GACGAACGCUGGCGGCGUGCUUAACACAUGCAAGUCGAGCGGAAAGGCUCCUUCGGGGGUACUCGAGCGGCGAACGGGUGGGUAACACGUGAGUAAUCUGCCCUUGGCUUCGGGAUAGCCACCGGAAGCGGUGAUUAAUACCGGAUACGACAACUUCUCGCAUGGGAUGGUUGUGGAAAGUUUUUUCGGCCAGGGAUGUGCUCGCGGCCUAUCAGCUUGAUGGUGAGGUAAUGGCUCACCAUGGCUUCGACGGGUAGCCGGCCUGAGAGGGUGACCGGUCACACUGGGACUGAGACACGGCCCAGACUCCUACGGGAGGCAGCAGUGGGGAAUAUUGGACAAUGGGCGGAAGCCUGAUCCAGCAACGCCGCGUGAGGGAUGACGGCCUUCGGGUUGUAAACCUCUUUCGGUAGGGACGAAGCGCAAGUGACGGUACCUACUAAAGAAGCACCGGCCAACUACGUGCCAGCAGCCGCGGUAA
Molecule: ribosomal RNA, 481 nt
Filed under: uncultured bacterium
Lineage: Bacteria
Description: partial 16S ribosomal RNA
Rfam family: Bacterial small subunit ribosomal RNA
Source: RNAcentral